RNAcentral lists this ribosomal RNA (467 nucleotides) under uncultured bacterium. Its description in RNAcentral is "partial 16S ribosomal RNA". It matches the Rfam family "Bacterial small subunit ribosomal RNA", at positions 29 to 507 of the family's 1533-position model. The record is from RNAcentral.
ACGAACGCUGGCGGCGUGCUUAACCCCUGCAAGUCGCACGGAAAGACCCUGCUUUUGUGGGGUGCUCGAGUGGCGAACGGGUGAGUAACACGUGAGUAACCUGCCCUUGACUUUGGGAUAACUUCAGGAAACUGGGGCUAAUACCGGAUAGGAGCUCCUGCUGCAUGGUGGGGGUUGGAAAGUUUCGGCGGUUGGGGAUGGACUCGCGGCUUAUCAGCUUGUUGGUGGGGUAGUGGCUUACCAAGGCUUUGACGGGUAGCCGGCCUGAGAGGGUGACCGGCCACAUUGGGACUGAGAUACGGCCCAGACUCCUACGGGAGGCAGCAGUGGGGAAUAUUGCACAAUGGGCGGAAGCCUGAUGCAGCAACGCCGCGUGCGGGAUGACGGCCUUCGGGUUGUAAACCGCUUUCGCCUGUGACGAAGCGUGAGUGACGGUAAUGGGUAAAGAAGCACCGGCUAACUACGUG